GGGAGUUUCUGGUUUUGCAUGAAGCAGCAGAACAUGAUGAAGCAUUUUUCCCCCAUCUAAAGAUCCAGUCGUGCUCCAGUUUGCAGAGGGCAAGGGGCUGGUUGCAGGUGGUGCUGGGAGGAUGGAGUAGAGAUGGGGUUUCACCGUGUUAACCAGGAAUGUCUCGAUCUCCUGACCUCGUGAUCCACCCGCCUCAGCCUCCCAAAGUGUUGGGAUUACAGGCGUGAGCUACCACGCCCGGCCCUAGGCUCCACAACUCUAAGAAGCUUUGGAAGGGGGCAGUGUAUACAGAUCCCUCACCUUGGAACUUCCGCAUCCUUGGGUUCAUCUGCAGAAUCUUCUUCAGCUUGGGCUCCAGUUCCUUGAUGUGGGAAGCCAGCCUCUCUAGCUGCCAACUGGGCCUGAUUUUGUUCUUCUGAGAGACCAUGGAACAGCAACAGCAAAGUAGAUCCUCCCCAUGGGGCUCCUUCUGCAGUGAAUUGAUGCACUUGAAGCAGACAGCGCAUCCACACUCCAGGGACAUUGGUUUCUCUAGAUAGUCUGAGCAGACGGGACAGCUGCUUGCUUCUUGGAAGAGUGCAGCCAUGUCCACUGCCAGGGGAAAAGUGCACAAGGGAAGAAAAUUUCCGUGAGGUGAAAGCCUGUUAGUUGUGACAAGUGACAACCUUUUCAUGCAUAAAGGUAUUGUGUCCCAGCUUUGUCACUUCUAGAACAAGACCAUGAGUACAAACACUCAAGCACAUCCCCCCACCCCCCGUCUUCAGAGAUUUGAAGUUCUAUUGGGAAAGAAAGUCACGAAUCAUCACUGUGCUCUGAACUGAGGUGGAGGAAGGGUCCAUUCUACUGGUGACCCAGCAACUGAGCCUGAGCCAGUGACACGGCAGCACCCAUGUGAGGAACAGCGAGCUGGGGUCAUUUCACCUCCUCCUAGGGGAACCCCAGCAAGAGAUUGAUUGAUGAACAUAAGAAUUAGGGGCUGGGAGGCCGGGCGUGGUGGCUCAGGCCUAUAAUCCCAGCACUUUGGGAGGCUGACGUGAGUGGAU
RNAcentral lists this long non-coding RNA (1043 nucleotides) under Homo sapiens (human). RNAcentral describes it as "RFPL1 antisense RNA 1". Lineage: Eukaryota; Metazoa; Chordata; Mammalia; Primates; Hominidae. The record is from RNAcentral.